UCCGUUUUGUCAACGGCAGUCUUGCUAGAGUGCUCUUGCGUAGCAACUAACAAUAGGGGUUGCGCUCGUUGCGGGACUUAACCCAACAUCUCACGACACGAGCUGACGACAACCAUGCACCACCUGUCUCAACUUUCCCCGAAGGGCACCUAAUGUAUCUCUACUUCGUUAGUUGGAUGUCAAGUCCUGGUAAGGUUCUUCGCGUUGCGUCGAAUUAAACCACAUAAUCCACUGCUUGUGCGGGCCCCCGUCAAUUCCUUUGAGUUUCAACCUUGCGGUCGUACUCCCCAGGUGGAAUACUUAUUGUGUUAACUGCGGCACGGAAGGGGUCAGUCCUCCCACACCUAGUAUUCAUCGUUUACAGCGUGGACUAC
This 374-nucleotide unclassified non-coding RNA is filed under the name uncultured Oscillospiraceae bacterium. RNAcentral describes it as "contains 16S-23S intergenic spacer region". Lineage: Bacteria; Bacillati; Bacillota; Clostridia; Eubacteriales; Oscillospiraceae. The record is from RNAcentral.